AGGCACCCCUUGGAGUCCCGGAGACGGUGGGGUGGCUCUGAAGCUUGUGAGCUCCCUUUCUUCUCUCUGCGAGGAGGGGUGCCUGGGCUGCGUUCCAUGGCCAGGGAGGUGAAGGGGUAUCUGGUGGUGAGUUCUUGUCUAAGGGUCCCUCGAUAGAUUCUUUUCUUUCUGUUGCAGUUACCCUUUAUGGGAGUAACUUUGUUUCUGUCUUAGAAAUACCUCAAAAUAUUAGGGUUGGGAAGUGACCGUUUGCAGAAUAGCUCCAGUGGUGGAGGUGGUUCGGGAGGAGGUGGAGAGAGUCAGAAGCCUACCACCUAGCCCAGCUCUGAUGAUCACUUUUGGGUGAUUCUACUUCCUUCCGACUCUUAUUUCCUCAUCUGUAACCAUUGGCACAUAUCAGUGGCUCUUACCCUUUUGGGACCUGUAGGUUUUCUUAACUUUUUUUCUAGAAAGUUCUGGAUUUGUACACAAGGAAACUGUGUAUUGAUAGAUAAACACAAAGUUGUAGUCUUUCAAAAUAUUCAUGGAUUUCUUCAAACUAGGUGGAUUAUAAAUUUAGAACCACUAGGUGGUUUCUGAGGCCCCCUUUGCCUUAACACAGACUAUAAAGUCAACCAUAACCUCUUAGAGGCGAUGCAAAUAUUCCAGG
Molecule: long non-coding RNA, 649 nt
Organism: Pipistrellus kuhlii (Kuhl's pipistrelle)
Lineage: Eukaryota; Metazoa; Chordata; Mammalia; Chiroptera; Vespertilionidae
Exons: 2
Source: RefSeq, a predicted model, not a curated record